AGUGAACGCUGGCGGUAGGCCUAACACAUGCAAGUCGAACGGCAGCACAGUAAGAGCUUGCUCUUACGGGUGGCGAGUGGCGGACGGGUGAGGAAUACAUCGGAAUCUACUUUUUCGUGGGGGAUAACGUAGGGAAACUUACGCUAAUACCGCAUACGACCUACGGGUGAAAGCAGGGGAUCUUCGGACCUUGCGCGAUUGAAUGAGCCAAUGUCGGAUUAGCUAGUUGGCGGGGUAAAGGCCCACCAAGGCGACGAUCCGUAGCUGGUCUGAGAGGAUGAUCAGCCACACUGGAACUGAGACACGGUCCAGACUCCUACGGGAGGCAGCAGUGGGAAAUAUUGGACAAUGGGCGCAAGCCUGAUCCAGCCAUACCGCGUGGGUGAAGAAGGCCUUCGGGUUGUAAAGCCCUUUUGUUGGGAAAGAAAAGCAGCAGGUUAAUACCCCGCUGUUCUGACGGUACCCAAAGAAUAAGCACCGGCUAACUUCGUG
Molecule: ribosomal RNA, 492 nt
Filed under: uncultured bacterium
Lineage: Bacteria
Description: partial 16S ribosomal RNA
Rfam family: Bacterial small subunit ribosomal RNA
Source: RNAcentral